RNAcentral lists this transfer RNA (73 nucleotides) under Centruroides sculpturatus (bark scorpion). RNAcentral's name for it is "tRNA-Tyr". It matches the Rfam family "tRNA". From Rfam's summary of the family: Transfer RNA (tRNA) molecules are approximately 80 nucleotides in length. Their secondary structure includes four short double-helical elements and three loops (D, anti-codon, and T loops). The record is from RNAcentral. Lineage: Eukaryota; Metazoa; Arthropoda; Arachnida; Scorpiones; Buthidae.
CCGUCGGUAGCUCAGCUGGUAGAGCGGUGGACUGUAGAUCCAUAGGUCGGUGGUUCAAAGCCGCCUCGACGGA